Molecule: ribosomal RNA, 433 nt
Filed under: uncultured bacterium
Lineage: Bacteria
Description: partial 16S ribosomal RNA
Rfam family: Bacterial small subunit ribosomal RNA
Source: RNAcentral
AACGAACGCUGGCGGCAUGCCUAACACAUGCAAGUCGAACGAAGGCUUCGGCCUUAGUGGCGCACGGGUGCGUAACGCGUGGGAACCUGCCCUUUGGUUCGGAAUAACAGCUGGAAACGGCUGCUAAUACCGGAUGAUGACGAAAGUCCAAAGAUUUAUCGCCAGAGGAUGAGCCCGCGUUGGAUUAGGUAGUUGGUGGGGUAAAGGCCUACCAAGCCGACGAUCCAUAGCUGGUCUGAGAGGAUGAUCAGCCACACUGGGACUGAGACACGGCCCAGACUCCUACGGGAGGCAGCAGUGGGGAAUAUUGGACAAUGGGCGCAAGCCUGAUCCAGCAAUGCCGCGUGAGUGAUGAAGGCCCUAGGGUUGUAAAGCUCUUUUACCCGGGAAGAUAAUGACUGUACCGGGAGAAUAAGCCCCGGCUAACUCCGUG